This 134-nucleotide ribosomal RNA is filed under the name Succinea putris (European ambersnail). RNAcentral describes it as "partial 28S ribosomal RNA". It matches the Rfam family "Eukaryotic large subunit ribosomal RNA", at positions 1 to 134 of the family's 3401-position model. Lineage: Eukaryota; Metazoa; Mollusca; Gastropoda; Stylommatophora; Succineidae. The record is from RNAcentral.
CGACCUCAGAUCGGACGAGAUUACCCGCUGAAUUUAAGCAUAUUACUAAGCGGAGGAAAAGAAACUAACAAGGAUUUCCCCAGUAACGGAGAGUGAAGCGGGAAAAGCCCAGCACCGAAUCCCCCAGUGUCACG